Gasterosteus aculeatus aculeatus (three-spined stickleback) is the source of this 4361-nucleotide non-coding RNA. The record is from RefSeq and is a predicted model, not a curated record. Lineage: Eukaryota; Metazoa; Chordata; Actinopteri; Perciformes; Gasterosteidae.
UUGAUUGCUGCCCGAGCCACUUAACUGUAGCUGACCACCGGCAGGCCCAGCUGUGUGGCUGCAGCCAUUCCAGCGCCCUGCUGCAGCCCGUCGCAGAGAAAGAGACGAGACCAUCAUGCAACCAAUUCUGCAGGUUGCUCGAAUGUGUCUCCUUGACCACACGUACAUGCAUUGUGUGUGUGUGUGUGUGUGUGUGUGUGUGUGUGUGUGUGUGUGUGUGGGUGGGUGUUGGUUUGUGUUUUGUUGACAUAUUUUGUUAAUGACGUUUUUCACAAUAACAGCAGGAGGAGAAAAGGACAGAAAAGAAUGAGUCAUUGCAGGCUAAUAAUUCUGCAUCUGGCUUAUGACACAUCAGUGUGGCGCCGUCCAAUAAAACCGGCACGACUCUAUAACUUCGUACAUCUCGCUUUAAAAACCCUUCCAGUGCAUCAUAAUUAUCAAAGCCACAGCUUGCCUUUCAUCAGUCAAGAAACCUUGAACAAAAAUCUGCACAAUCCAUGUAGGUAUAAUGCUCAAAGCAGCAUUUCAAUAACCUCUGAGAAUAAAUGGAAGAUCAGGGCGCCUAAAGUGAAGGUGGUGUCCUCACCGUUGUGCUCGGCAAUUACAGUUUUAUUCGCUGACAGCUGGCUGGGUGGACUUCUUUCUGCGCUAUGACUGAGAGCGUUGUGUGGUUUCACAUGCUGUUUACAUUCUUUUCAUCACUGUCCUCUGUUUCAAGGUCGAGCUUUGCAGUCGAUGUGUUUCAAAUUUUUUAGCUGCAUCAUCUUCACAAUAAGGUACUGUGAGGUCCAAUAGGGUAUAUGAUUAAUAUAUGCAUCAUAUUACCCUAUUGUUAGUUUCAUAUCAUUAUUUUUUGUGCAAUCAGUAGGUCGAGCCUGUGACUGGUCAGGCUGUGAGCAGGAGGUAAGUGACCUUUGAGAGCAUGGCAACAUUUUGACUUGUCACAGCAGGAAAAGCACAAGGAGCACGAGCAACAUCUCAGUAUUACUAUGCAAGUGUCACAUUGAGCCAGCAUGCUCAAUACCAGCUCCCUGAAACAUAAGCAGCUCAGUGGAAUUCAGCCAUCACCAGUUGUUCUAUUUACACCUUUGCUUCCCUGUGACAUGUCAGAAAGGCUCCGGUAAGAAAAGGCCUAUUGUAUGUAAGUCAAUGUGGAAUCUCCAAAACAGUUAAUGACAUCAUUAGCCUAAUUGAUGAAACUGACGAUCGGCCGGCCACUUGAUAUUCAUCAUAUAAUGUGAAGUUAUUCAUUUUAAAAAUAAUUUUUUAGGGAGUAAAUAAGAAGCUAUUAUACACUGGUAUCUAGCAGACUGCCUAAUAAUCCUUAAUUCGGCUACAAACUACUCAGCAGCUAAUUUAUUUGCCUUUAUUUUCUCCAGACAACUGCAUUUAGUUAACUUUUUCUUAAAACCUGUGCACAUUCCUGUCUACCCACACAGGAGUUUCUGCCCAAUGCUCCUGAUGAGACUCUUUUCAGAGCUGUUUGGUCAUGGAUGAACUGUGACUUAUUCACAUCUCUCUCGCCCUUCUAGUUGUUCUGUUGUAGCUGUCGGAAACGUCUUUAUUGUCAAUUUUUCUGAGGCUGCUUCCAUGUUCAUCACUCUUAUUAUGGUAUUGAGUGUUGAACCAUGCAUAGCUCUGUCCAACUUCAACCUGCAGGUCCAAAAACUGUACACAGCUUCGCUGAGAUUUGCCAGUUUACGGAACAGAGGGCGUGGCCUCUGCGGAAAACUCUUUAAUCAUUGCGCUACAAAUGUGGCUGAUUGGGGUCAAAAGUUGAAAAAAUACAAAAAGUGAAUGAGGAUACCACAGGCUUAUUAUUGUGCAAAUAGUCAGUUCCCAACUGGAUAACAGGAAUGUAUGUGGAGAAAUUGAAAAUUAAAACUGACUUGUUUAUCUAGUUUAGCAAGAUUACCAGUUGCUACAAAGAUUUGACUUUACUUGCCUUUCAAAAUGUGAAAAAACAAUGUAAACAACUGUUUACUAAAGGGGAAAACGUUGAGCUAUUGAUAUAUGAGCAAUUGCAUCAUACCAGGGAUAAAAAAAUGUUUUUGCAACAAAGCGCCCAAAGAAAAAUCCAUUGGAAUGCAACAGAAGGGACUCAGCCAAGCAAACAGUAAUUAACUUUUGGUUCCCAACCAGAUGAAACUGAUCACUGCACUAAGCACUUUGUCCAAAUUGUGGUUUGAGGUUUCACAUCCCAUUAAAAUCGUAGACAUUCUGAUUUUUUAUUUUUCAUUAGCGUAUUAGGUGGCACCAGGAGGCGCAGCUGCUUUUGUAUCUGCUUUUGUGCAACUGCUCAUAAGUCUGUUUUACACACAGACAGAAAGUUCUGCAUCAUCCUGUUUUGAAAGACUUUUCAGGUUUAAAUAAAAAACCCAAAUGAUCUAUAGAGCGGACAAAGAAAGCAUCACACCAGGUCAUCAAUGGAGCAGUUUACCGUCACUCUUCUAUGUCCCCUUUCGUCUCAAGUUGCCUGCCGCAAAUAGUUACUAAUUCUAGGUCUGACUUGUAAAAAUAUGGAGCGGUCUGCAACAAAGGAAUGUUGGGUGUAAACAGAGCAUUUUUGUUCUGUUGCUAAUAAAUCCAAGGUGCUAAACGUCCAGGCCAGACGCAGCUCAGUCUGUGCACCGACGGUACAUGAAGUGCUGUCCUCAGACGUCCUGUGGAACACACGGUGGUGAGGAGUGUUUCGGGGAUUUAAGCGGAUCGACCUGUAGAGCUUCUCAGUGUCUGACACGUCUUUUCCUCUCAGGACUGUCCUCAGUAGACAACUAAACCUCUGCUUCUGGGCAAACGUCACAGCAUCCAGACAAAACGAUACGUGAAGAUGUUUCUAUCAACAGAAAUAUGCCGAUGGCUGGGCUGCAGUCCAGGUCUCCCACUCUCUAACACACAAGCACACACACACACACACACACACGCAAUCACACACUCACACCUAGCCAAUUCCAACACUGCUGUUGCAGUCCAGCUGGCACUGAAAGGGAUGCUUUGAUGUUGGUCGGCAGAAAUUGCACGAAGGGUGUAAGUUGUGAGUGGUUCUGCCUCUAGUAAAUCUAUUUUAGCUACAGUGCUGGAGAUAAUUUGGGGUAAUUCAGAAUAAAAACAUUCAAAUGAAGGCAGAAACUCCUCGGAUCUUUUUUGUAGCAUUGUGUGUGUGUUGUUUGUUUUUUCUGAGGACGGAGCAGAAGAGGUACUUGGUGAAUUAUUGACUGAUUAUCAGUCAUUAAAUGAAAUACGAGAGACAUUUGUAUUUAAAUGCGUUUGAACUCGUUGAACUUGUUGAGGAAAAAACAACUUAAAACGCAUAUGUUACAAAUCCAAAUGAUAAUAAAUUCAAAUGACUCUUAAGACAGCCAACAUGCAUUCAACAAGUGUGCUGUAUAGUCAAUGAUGGCGAUAACUAAUAACUGGUGACAAUUAGAUCAUAUUCAAGACUUGAAAUGAACAAGGGGCCAUUUUGAUUUUUAGAAAUCUGCAAGCGUACAGGUACCCAACAUGGACACAGUUGAUGCAUAAUGACACUUAUUAAAGCAUUGGCCUGGAGUUGUGUGACAAAGGUAUUGUGUAAGAAGUGGACUUAGACGUCUCCCAUUAGUUUGUGAAUAAUGUUUUUUAAAACCUUGAGGUUUGAACAUUUUGAACAAGGCUUCAAUGUUCCAAUUGACCUUCAUGAACUGAUAACACACUAUGAAAGGAUUAAAGAUGUAAGAUGAAAACAGAUAAAUCCCCCACCAGACAACAACGUGGUAGCCUGUCAAUCACAGUCACAGGACAUGCCCUGCUUUACGGUCUAUUACCGUAAUUGCAACCAGAAAUUCCAUACUUAAAGGACUUGAUCUAAAACAACUGAAAUAUACUGCACAGCUCUCUGGACACUUAACAUUUGAGCUCCCUGUCUUCCACAGAGGCUGUAACCAGGCCCGCGUCCCAUAUUCACAACACGGAUUAUUCUUUAUCAUUAAAUCAGAAUGAAUCAGUGAUCAAAGAACCAACUGGCUUUUCACAGCAGGAUUCCUGAACUCAAUCCCAAAUACGAAAGUGCUCUCGGACAUCUGUUGAUGAAACUGAAGAACUACAGCCACAGUCAAACAGAUGUCCAAGGACCAGAGAAUUCCUGCCCUGAUAAGCUGUCAGGAGCAUUGCCUCGUCAAAUUGUGGUGUGUGCGUGCGUGUGUGUGCGUGCGUGCGUGCGUGUGUGUGUGUGUGUGUGUGUGUGUGUGUGUGUGUGUGUGUGUGUGUGUGUGUGUGUGUGCGUGCGUGCAUGCAAUUGGGAAAUGAGUGAGGAGACAAGCCUCAAGGUUACAUGCUAUUAAAACAAGGCUGUAUAAAUUAAUUAAAUAAUUCAUAAUUAUGAA